Long non-coding RNA from Oreochromis aureus, 605 nucleotides. RefSeq lists it as uncharacterized. The transcript is spliced from 4 exons. The record is from RefSeq and is a predicted model, not a curated record. NCBI's taxonomy places the organism in Eukaryota, Metazoa, Chordata, Actinopteri, Cichliformes, Cichlidae.
CACAGACAACGUCUGUACAGCUCACCACAAGUUUUGCUUUGGAGUACGGCAGCACGCUAUCUUCAUUUUCGUGGACUUGUUUCUCAUUUUUUUAAUUUAACGUCUGCCACAGCUCGUCUUCAGUUACUACGGGUGCUGAUCUAGCAGUGUGUGGACCUCAGCGGACCCCAGAAACGUAUAGAUCUGCCACUGAACAGCUGGAAAGAGAAGACGUGUCAGAAGUUCAGGGGAUAAAGUUCAGAUAUGGCUGAAUCGCAGGUGCUUAUCUUAAAGAACAUAGGGGAUGCAAUUGCAGGAGUGCUUCCAGACCUUCCUGAUCAACUUCUCAAGUCGGUAGAAGAUACUUUGAAAAAAACUUGGUGCAGAAACCACAGAUGAUUUAAAGUACAUUACAGAAAAUGACCUGCUGCUAGUGCUCAAGCCCAUACAAUCCAGAAGACUAGUGGUGCCUGGACCCAAAAUGUGGAUGUCCUUCUUUCUCCACCCUCAAUUUCUUCUUCACCAACAUCAUCCACCACUACUUCAUCACCUUCAGGAAUCUGUACACCAUUACUACCAAACUGGGUAGAGAGAUUUGAGAUACCAUGGCAGAGGCUCCCUGAGGA